CUUAAUUCCCAAUUUAUCUGCAGCCAGUUUGCACUGUAUCAGCCUGAUCUCGUCAGAUCUCAGAACCUAAGCAGAGCAGGAUCUGGUUAGUACUUGGAUGGGAGACCUCUUUGGAACACCAGUGGCUGUGUGUGUUUCUCCGGGUAAAACGGGAGUUGCGUCAGGAAGGGCAUCCGGCGUAAAACUUGCACAAAUUACCAAUGCGGAUCUGGUUGUAUCCGCUGUGGCGACCCUGAACAAAAUCGGGACCAGCCGAAUUAACAACAACA
Thalassophryne amazonica is the source of this 269-nucleotide long non-coding RNA. RefSeq lists it as uncharacterized. NCBI's taxonomy places the organism in Eukaryota, Metazoa, Chordata, Actinopteri, Batrachoidiformes, Batrachoididae. The transcript is spliced from 5 exons. The record is from RefSeq and is a predicted model, not a curated record.